Molecule: ribosomal RNA, 483 nt
Filed under: uncultured bacterium
Lineage: Bacteria
Description: partial 16S ribosomal RNA
Rfam family: Bacterial small subunit ribosomal RNA
Source: RNAcentral
GACGAACGCUGGCGGCGUGCUUUACACAUGCAAGUCGAACGGUGAAGGUGGAGCUUGCUCCGCCGGAUCAGUGGCGAACGGGUGAGUCACACGUGGGCAACCUGCCCCUAACUUUGGGAUAACUACUCGAAAGAGUAGCUAAUACCGGAUAUGAAGUCUGUAGGCAUCUAUGGAUUUGGAAAGUUCUUCGGUUAGGGAUGGGCCCGCGGCCUAUCAGCUUGUUGGUGAGGUAGUGGCUCACCAAGGCGACGACGGGUAGCCGGCCGGAGAGGGCGACCGGCCACACGGGGACUGAGACACGGCCCAGACUCCUACGGGGGGCAGCAGUGGGGAAUAUUGCGCAAGGGGCGAAAGCCUGACGCAGCAACGCCGCGUGCGGGAUGAAGGCCUGCGGGUUGUAAACCGCGUUCAGCAGGGAAGAAGCGAAAGUGACGGUACCUGCAGAAGAAGCACCGGCUAACUACGUGCCAGCCGCCGCGGUAA